This 605-nucleotide ribosomal RNA is filed under the name uncultured bacterium. RNAcentral describes it as "bacterial SSU rRNA". It matches the Rfam family "Bacterial small subunit ribosomal RNA", at positions 331 to 929 of the family's 1533-position model. The record is from RNAcentral.
CCAGACUCCUACGGGAGGCAGCAGUGGGGAAUAUUGCACAAUGGGCGCAAGCCUGAUGCAGCGACGCCGCGUGAGGGAUGGAGGCCUUCGGGUUGUAAACCUCUUUCGCCAGUGAAGCAGGCCUGUCCCUUGUGGGUGGGUUGACGGUAGCUGGAUAAGAAGCGCCGGCUAACUACGUGCCAGCAGCCGCGGUAAUACGUAGGGCGCGAGCGUUGUCCGGAAUUAUUGGGCGUAAAGAGCUCGUAGGCGGCUGGUCGCGUCUGUCGUGAAAUCCUCUGGCUUAACUGGGGGCUUGCGGUGGGUACGGGCCGGCUUGAGUGCGGUAGGGGAGACUGGAACUCCUGGUGUAGCGGUGGAAUGCGCAGAUAUCAGGAAGAACACCGGUGGCGAAGGCGGGUCUCUGGGCCGUUACUGACGCUGAGGAGCGAAAGCGUGGGGAGCGAACAGGAUUAGAUACCCUGGUAGUCCACGCCGUAAACGUUGGGCACUAGGUGUGGGGGGCCUUUUCCGGGUCUUCCGCGCCGUAGCUAACGCAUUAAGUGCCCCGCCUGGGGAGUACGGCCGCAAGGCUAAAACUCAAAGGAAUUGACGGGGGCCCGCACAAG